RNAcentral lists this ribosomal RNA (550 nucleotides) under Stenocoris furcifera. RNAcentral's name for it is "SSU rRNA". It matches the Rfam family "Eukaryotic small subunit ribosomal RNA", at positions 20 to 559 of the family's 1831-position model. Lineage: Eukaryota; Metazoa; Arthropoda; Insecta; Hemiptera; Alydidae. The record is from RNAcentral.
GUAGUCAUAUGCUUGUCUCAAAGCCUAAGCCAUGCAAGUCUCAGUACGAGCUGCAUUAAAGUGAAACCGCAAAAGGCUCAGUAAACCAAUCGUAGUUCACCGGGUAUAUGCCACGUGACGUGGAUAACUGUGGUAAUUCUAGAGCUAAUACAUGCAAACAAGUCCCGACCAGCGAUGGGGAGGACGCUUUUAUUGGAUCAAAACCAUUCGCCCGGACUACCGGGCGUCGGCUUGAUGACUCUAGAUAACACCACAGAUCGCACGGUCACGGCACCGGUGACCUACCCUUCAAAUGUCUGACUUAUCAGCUGUCGAUGGUAGACUCUGUGUCUACCAUGGCGCUCACGGGUGACGGGGAAUCAGGGUUCGAUUCCGGAGAGGGAGCCUGAGAAACGGCUACCACAUCCAAGGAAGGCAGCAGGCACGCAAAUUACCCACUCCCGGCACGGGGAGGUAGUGACAAAAAAUAACGAUACGGGACUCAUCCGAGGCCCCGUAAUCGGAAUGAGAACACCCUAAAUCCUUUAACGAGGAUCUGUUGGAGGGCAAG